This 240-nucleotide ribosomal RNA is filed under the name uncultured bacterium. RNAcentral's name for it is "partial 16S ribosomal RNA". It matches the Rfam family "Bacterial small subunit ribosomal RNA", at positions 100 to 334 of the family's 1533-position model. The record is from RNAcentral.
CGGCACGGGUGAGUAACACGUAUGCAAUCCACCUGUAACAGGGGGAUAACCCGGAGAAAUCCGGACUAAUACCCCAUAAUAUGGGCGCUCCGCAUGGAGAGCCCAUUAAAGAGAGCAAUUUUGGUUACAGACGAGCAUGCGCUCCAUUAGCCAGUUGGCGGGGUAACGGCCCACCAAGCCGACGAUGGAUAGGGGUUCUGAGAGGAAGGUCCCCCACAUUGGUACUGAGACACGGACCAA